Molecule: ribosomal RNA, 467 nt
Filed under: uncultured bacterium
Lineage: Bacteria
Description: partial 16S ribosomal RNA
Rfam family: Bacterial small subunit ribosomal RNA
Source: RNAcentral
GAUGAACGCUGGCGGCGCGCCUAACACAUGCAAGUCGAACGAUUAAAGCACCUUCGGGUGUGUAUAAAGUGGCGAACGGCUGAGUAACACGUGGGCAACCUGCCCCUUUCAUUGGGAUAACCACGGGAAACCGUGGAUAAUACCGAAUACUUCGAGACUUCCGCAUGGAAGACUCGAGAAAGCUCCGGCGGAGAGGGAUGGGCCCGCGGCCUGUUAGCUUGUUGGUGGGGUAACGGCCUACCAAGGCAAUGAUGGGUAGCUGGGUUGAGAGACCGACCAGCCAGAUUGGGACUGAGACACGGCCCAGACUCCUACGGGAGGCAGCAGUGGGGAAUCUUGCACAAUGGGCGAAAGCCUGAUGCAGCGACGCCGCGUGCGGGAUGAAGGCCUUCGGGUUGUAAACCGCUUUCAGCAGGGACGAGGCGAAAGUGACGGUACCUGCAGAAGAAGCCCCGGCUAACUACGUG